CCUACGGGAGGCAGCAGUCGAGAAUCAUUCACAAUGGGGGAAACCCUGAUGGUGCGACGCCGCGUGGGGGAAUGAAGGUCUUCGGAUUGUAAACCCCUGUCAUGUGGGAGCAAAUUAAAAAGAUAGUACCACAAGAGGAAGAGACGGCUAACUCUGUGCCAGCAGCCGCGGUAAUACAGAGGUCUCAAGCGUUGUUCGGAAUCACUGGGCGUAAAGCGUGCGUAGGCUGUUUCGUAAGUCGUGUGUGAAAGGCGCGGGCUCAACCCGCGGACGGCACAUGAUACUGGGAGACGAGAGUAAGGGAGGGGGAACCGGAAUUCGCGGUGUAGCAGUGAAAUGCGUAGAUAUCGAGAGGAACACUCGUGGCGAAGGCGGGUUCCUGGACAUUAACUGACGCUGAGGCACGAAGGCCAGGGGAGCGAAAGGGAUUAGAUACCCUGGUAGUC
Molecule: ribosomal RNA, 446 nt
Filed under: uncultured bacterium
Lineage: Bacteria
Description: partial 16S ribosomal RNA
Rfam family: Bacterial small subunit ribosomal RNA
Source: RNAcentral